CAGAUAUUUUGUUGACAACAUGUAUUGCACCUCAUAUGCUUUCUAUUGUCCAUUAUGAGGGAGGUAUUAUAUCUCUUAAAGUGUGUAUAACUCAGUACUACUUCUUCGGUGCUUUGGAAUCCUUAGAAUGUUUACUGUUAACAGUGAUGUCUUAUGACCGAUAUCUGGCCAUCUAUAACCCCCUGCAGUAUACCUCUAUAAUGGACCAUGCAUUUUGUAUUAAAUUAAUAGUUAUAUGUUGGGUAUUAGGCUUUUUUAUAGCACUAAUUAGUGCAGUAACAAUAACUCAGCUGAC
This is a non-coding RNA of Pelobates cultripes (western spadefoot toad), 295 nucleotides long. NCBI's taxonomy places the organism in Eukaryota, Metazoa, Chordata, Amphibia, Anura, Pelobatidae. The record is from the annotation of a GenBank genome assembly.